RNAcentral lists this ribosomal RNA (515 nucleotides) under uncultured bacterium. RNAcentral's name for it is "partial 16S ribosomal RNA". It matches the Rfam family "Bacterial small subunit ribosomal RNA", at positions 28 to 523 of the family's 1533-position model. The record is from RNAcentral.
GAUGAACGCUGGCGGCGUGCCUAAUACAUGCAAGUCGAGCGAAUGGAUUAAGAGCUUGCUCUUAUGAAGUUAGCGGCGGACGGGUGAGUAACACGUGGGUAACCUGCCCAUAAGACUGGGAUAACUCCGGGAAACCGGGGCUAAUACCGGAUAACAUUUUGAACCGCAUGGUUCGAAAUUGAAAGGCGGCUUCGGCUGUCACUUAUGGAUGGACCCGCGUCGCAUUAGCUAGUUGGUGAGGUAACGGCUCACCAAGGCAACGAUGCGUAGCCGACCUGAGAGGGUGAUCGGCCACACUGGGACUAGGACACGGCCCAGACUCCUGCGGGAGGCAGCAGUAGGGAAUCUUCCGCAAUGGACGAAAGUCUGACGGAGCAACGCCGCGUGAGUGAUGAAGGCUUUCGGGUCGUAAAACUCUGUUGUUAGGGAAGAACAAGUGCUAGUUGAAUAAGCUGGCACCUUGACGGUACCUAACCAGAAAGCCACGGCUAACUACGUGCCAGCAGCCGCAGUAA